AGACAGGUGCUGCAUGGCUGUCGUCAGCUCGUGUUGUGAAAUGUUGGGUUAAGUCCCGCAACGAGCGCAACCCUUAUCCUUUGUUGCCAGCGCGUGAUGGCGGGAACUCAAAGGAGACUGCCGGUGAUAAACCGGAGGAAGGUGGGGAUGACGUCAAGUCAUCAUGGCCCUUACGAGUAGGGCUACACACGUGCUACAAUGGCGUAUACAAAGGGAAGCGACCCCGCGAGGGCAAGCGGAACUCAUAAAGUACGUCGUAGUCCGGAUUGGAGUCUGCAACUCGACUCCAUGAAGUCGGAAUCGCUAGUAAUCGUAGAUCAGAAUGCUACGGUGAAUACGUUCCCGGGCCUUGUACACACCGCCCGUCACACCAUGGGAGUGGGUUGCAAAAGAAGUAGGUAGCUUAACCUCCGGGAGGGCGCUUACCACUUUGUGAUUCAUGACUGGGGUGAAGUCGUAACAAGGUAACCGUAGGGGAACCUGCGGUUGGAUCACCUCCUUA
Molecule: ribosomal RNA, 502 nt
Filed under: Morganella morganii
Lineage: Bacteria; Pseudomonadati; Pseudomonadota; Gammaproteobacteria; Enterobacterales; Morganellaceae
Description: bacterial SSU rRNA
Rfam family: Bacterial small subunit ribosomal RNA
Source: RNAcentral